CCAGCUGUCUCAUCGGCAGUUCCCUACCUAACCGUGCGUUGGGAGUAAUUUCAGGGUGCAAAGCCUCGGGGACAAUGUAACUACAAAGUAUCCGUAAGAAUGGGCCUUGAGACUCAAUCUAAAGCUGCCAGCCGCAGACGGUAAG
Molecule: non-coding RNA, 145 nt
Filed under: Leminorella grimontii
Lineage: Bacteria; Pseudomonadati; Pseudomonadota; Gammaproteobacteria; Enterobacterales; Budviciaceae
Source: RNAcentral